UACUUAUAUCGAGAUUGAGCUUGCUGUCUCUCGGUCAGCGAGAACAGCUGAGGUUUUCUUUAGGAACGACUUUCUUAGCCUUCUCUACUUUUGGGCUCAUUUUAGAGAUCUUGUCCCCCUCCCCAACCUUGUAGCAUUUGGAGGAGCAGGAAAUGACACCAGAGCUUUCUGUGCCCCAGACGAGGACUUUCUGAUUGAGGGCUUCUCUGGCGUCACUCAGGAUUGGGGAGAAUAGUAUUCAAUAAUGGGGAGGAGCUAGGACCCCACCUGUUUUGUCUCCAUCUCCUCACCUCUCCUUCUGCCCAAGUGCACAGGCUCCUUAACUUUCUGUCCCAUUCACCUUUCCUCUACAGAGCCAAUUGAGCAGCAGGGAACCUACUCAGAGCUGAAUAAGCGAAGUCUUGAUCUGCCCUGGCAGGGCCAAAAAUCACAGGGCACGAAGGGCAGAAGAUCAGCGAGUGAGCCGUCAGUGACCUACACAGAGCUGAAACAGCAUAAUCGACCUCAGUGGUGCAGCCCAUCUGAGAAUGCCCAGAGUAAAGGUACCACAGGCCACCUGCCCCAGCCUCAGUCGCCUGCAUGAAUCUAACAGGUUUAGGUAUUUUACCAUCCUUAGCCAAGGGGACCAGCAAGUUGAGUUUGUGUUUUUGAAGAAUCCUCUUGGGGAUGCCUAUUAAGUGCAAUUUCCCCAUAUAAUUACAAUUUUGCUUUUAUUCAGAUAUUCCCAGUAAGGGCAGUACUUCCCAGUGUGAUUUUUUAUCAGUUGUUCUCUUUCUUGAUGUGUCUCUGGAAUUUCCACAUGGGCUUGUUUGGAUUUGUCAUUAGUAUUAUGUCUGUUAUUGUUGGUGUUGUUGUUUGACAUCUUUAUUGGGCUAGAUCAGUCCAGGGACACCCCAAAACCUCUCCAAAGGCUGACCAUUCCCUUUCAGGUUCAUAAGGAGCCACCCUCACCUAAAGGAAACCAUGGGUUGAAGCUUGAGGGAAGCUCACCAGGAUGCGGCUGCUGGGAGGAGAUAGAGACCAGCCAGGGCAGCUGCCCUGUUCUUAACCCACUCCUCUCUCCACACAAAUGUGUGGAGAACCUGGGGAGCGCCACAUCCCCGAGCAGACUGUGGAGGGAAGGUAGCUGAUGAUUCACCCUCCCACAAACAGCAGACUCACAGAGCCCAACUGCCAUCUCUUUUCACCUCCUUACCACUAUCUUCCCCUGCCCUGACAUGAGGAAAUGAUGUUUGUUUGAAUUGUGGAUUCCCAGUGACAACCUUAAAACAGGCUAAGAUUGACAGGUUUUCCAGCAGGAUCACAUGGUGAGUCUCCUUGGGUAAUUCAUCAAAGAAAUCAAGAAACCUCAAAGCACAACACAACCAGCAUCCACUGCACUUCAUUCUAAUUUGACAAUACAUGUACAGCUCUCCUACAAUCCCACACAUCCCUUCACUUUGCUCAGGAUCUACCUCAACCUUACAACAUCACUGUGCAGCUAUAUUCACUUCCAGGCUCUUUAGACUCUUGCAGAAUUUAUCUUCUCAAGUGCAGGGAUUGUGUUUACCAACUCUGUCAGAGUCUCCCAUGAGCUUAGCUCAGUGUGCUCUGCAAAUUGUAAGGCAUUAAUUCUGACUCUUUUAUUUCCCUUCAGAUAUUUCUGUCUCUUCCCAACAAUUUUCACUCCGAUUCUCAAAUGAUGACUAGGCUUUGGACAGUGUUUAGAAAUGAAAAAUAAGGUACAUCUUCAAAACAUAGUGGCAGAAAUUUGUAGGCAAACUCUGCUUCAUCAUCCACCCUGUCCCAGCUCCAGAUUAUAAAAUCUUUGAGUGCAGAAUUGAUGUCUCCUUACUCUAUUUUACUCUCUUGGGCACAUUAUGCAGCACUUUGCACAAAAAAUGUCACUGAUAGAUUGAACUCUCCUCUACCCCAGUUCUCAUAAACAUAUGCUUCAGAAGGAGUCAUAGGUCAGGUUAGAAAGUUUGUUAGAGUGAGCAAAAUGAAGGUCUGUGUUCUUUGGAUUUUAAUAUGUUGCCUAUGCUCUUUAAACCUCUCCAGCCCACUCUCCAUGUCUCCCUCUUUGACUCUUUUUCUAUCAGUUAUAUUUCUCUCUGUCAUUGGCUAUAUUUCUCUCUUCACCUCGUACCUUUUCUAUCUCUCUUCCUCUUUCUUGGACUAAAGGUGUAUUUGUAUGAGUCAAAAUAAAGAAUUGAGGUUGUCAGUUCUAAAGAAAAAAAUGAUAGAAGAUAAGUGAGUUGUUAAUAGAAAUUGCGUAAAAGGUGAAGGGAGAAAUUAUUUCUCUAAGACAUGUCACGUUUUAGUGGGUAAAUUAAGAUUUCAGGGCAUUUUGGGUGUUUGAGGACAGAGAUAUUUUUUUCUGUUGCAAAGAUUAUCAUUAUUGACAUUAUUAUCACUACUAGUAGGUUCACAUAGUACAGUCUGGAAGUUCAAUGCAGUAACUGUAGGAAUCUUCUGCCUUGCAUUACUGGCCACAACGGGUUUCUUGGCAGCCCAAGGUAAAUAACUUUAAAACCAGUCCUAAAAUAGUGAACAAACUUAGCCUUUUAAAUGACUUGCAUCUAAAGAAUGAUCUAAAUAGUGCAAUCCUGAUAGUCUUUCUUAUCUGAUUUCUAUAGUGAUCCAGGGACAAGGAGUUUCUACAAACGUCUUUCCAAACCCAUCUCCCAACAACAUCAAAGAGACUGGUAGCUGCGAGCACUGAGUGGUCCAAAUAACUGCCCCAGAGCAGCUCAGACAGAGACCAAAACUGCUUCUUCUGAGGCUGCAGUGCCCCUUAUGUGGAACCAAAGUUUUUGUGUGCACGAGAGAAAGAGGUGGUAGAAACUUGGACAACCAAAGCUCAGGAAACAUCUGAUUCUGCGCAUAAUUCUAACCCCUUCUUGUUAUCUAGAAUGUGACUGGGGCCCUUGUCCAGAGGACUGGAUUCAGUUAAGAAAAAGCUGUUACCUCUUCUCCAAAGAUAAAAAGAACUGGCAUGACAGCAAGAAGACUUGUGCAGCUCUGAAGUCCAGUUUGCUGUGGAUAGACAGCAAGGAAGAGGAGUUCCUGGAAGUGGGAGAGUGGCACAGCUUUCUCCAGUCAUAGGCGCACUUUCAUCGAGACAAAAAGGGGGGGUAACUACGUCUAUCAAAGUGGAAAAUAUGUCUUUGAAAACAACUGUGAGGGUCUCAGGUUGUUCAUUUAUAAGCAGAGGACUCACUAGUCUCUGUUUAUGAAAAACCCUAACUUUGGAAUUUCAUCUCAAUCCCAUCCCAGGUACCUUCUCACAAAGAAUCCUGGAUGCUCACCUGGUCAACUGCACUAAUUUCUUGGUCAUCAAAAUGGUGCCCUUGUUUUUGCAAAGCAAAGUGUUCCUGGGUAGAAUUGGACAUUGUAGACCCUAGAGGAUUAUCCUCCCCAAUGUUUCAAGGCCUCGUGAGAUAUUUCCACUCUAAACUCACUGAUUCCUGUGUGAAAUGAUUCAGUUACAGCUUCUUUAAAGAGAUAGUGAUAUCUCUGUUACAUAAAACAACACCACUCGUCUUCCACACUUGGUUGUCACGCAGUACCAUGCAAUAUCUGUGGCCCACCAUGAAUAAUUAUUACAAAAGAAAAUGAAAUUGUCAGUGACUAUAAUUCUUAGAUUAUUUAACAUAUCCAACUCCCUUCAGGCUCAUGGCUUCAUGAAUCCUGAAAAAUGUUCUGGAAAAAAAAGAAGACUAUCAUAAAGUACCAACUUUUUACAGCUUCCAAAUGGUAUUCAACUGAAUUAGAAAGUCAGAAACAGUGAAAGGUGGUAUUUUCACACACUUUGAAUGGAUCCCAUUCAUUUAACAGGAGUUACUGAUUGUCUCCUGUGCCCGUAGGCCCUCAAAGAGUUCUAUAAGAGCAAAAGACGUUGUUCCUGCCCUUUGAACAAUCUACUGAAGGAUGCAGGCACAAACUGUAUGCUUCUAGUAGGACAAGAAGAAAAACAUGAAUAUGUGGUAUUUCUGGCAGCGAACAGAAAAAUAAAC
Molecule: long non-coding RNA, 3998 nt
Organism: Ornithorhynchus anatinus (platypus)
Lineage: Eukaryota; Metazoa; Chordata; Mammalia; Monotremata; Ornithorhynchidae
Exons: 3
Source: RefSeq, a predicted model, not a curated record